Molecule: long non-coding RNA, 1393 nt
Organism: Seriola aureovittata
Lineage: Eukaryota; Metazoa; Chordata; Actinopteri; Carangiformes; Carangidae
Exons: 8
Source: RefSeq, a predicted model, not a curated record
AAGUAUAAACAACAGUUCAGAGGGGUUGAAACAUUUAUAUAUCCUUCUUACCUGUAUUACAUGUAAAUCCCAUAUUCAUGCCUCGAAUAAUCCUGUACUACAAUUUCAGACACCCCUAAAGUGGACUAUACCAUUUCUCUACCUUGACGUUAGCUGCGCAUCACAUCUGCCUUCGUCACUCCCAUCUGUGGCCAGCGUCUUUAUUGUGCAGGAGUUGUAAAUCCCCAUGGAGACUGUGUCUACUAUAUCAAUCCGGCCCACUGCAGCUGUCCGCCACCUCUGGUCAUAGAAGCGGCGAAGGACCCUCUGUCUUUGGUGACACUGGCACCUGAGGAGCCGAGUGAAAGCCCUCUGGAACUCUUUGCUGGAGCACGGGUAGAUCAUGGGGUUGAUGCAGCUGUUGAAGUAGCCCAGCCAAAAGACUACCUUGAACACAGUGUCAGAUGGCUUCAGUGCCGGGAAGAAGGAACCUAUGGAGAAGAAGCUGCGAAUAUUAUUAAGAAGUUUAAGGUCCAUCGGGUCGUGACCCCGGAUUUAACAGAAGGAAUGUCCAAAUGGUGGAAAAAGAACCAAGAACAACUUGCAAGCUCAAGGAGGAAGCCAGAGUUCCCGGAAGAAACCCACGGAAAAAGGCCCCAGCUGAUUCAAACCGAGGCGACAGUGAUAACAACUGCACCACCGAGCACUAACCAUAUUACAUUUACUAUAGUUUAAUAUUAUCAGGGACGUUUAUUUGAACAAAACUGUUUAAUGUUGUUUCAUUUACAGAUGGCUGCGGUGAAUUGAUCCACGGGGAGGCAUUUCUCACAAUCACAGUUUGGGGUUAUUCUUUGGGGGAAGCUGUGUCUCCAAGAAACAACUUUUAAUAACAAGGACGUCCCACUUAUGGGAAAUCGCCACUCUUUGAUUUUUGUUCCUUCCAGCAGUUUGCUUUUAUCUGCUGUGUAACAUUUCCAAUAACAAACACACUAAUUAGCCACUCUAACCUCAGCCUACAGAGGAAGAACAAAGCCUUUGUGGUUGCUGUGUCUUGGCCCCAGAGUGUUCGCACAGACCUGUGCUCCCUAGCAGAAUAAGGUUGAAGAGAUGAAGAAUAUAAGUCUCCCAUACAGGAGAAAGAGGACAAGAGGAGUUCCCUGUUGGAUUCUUACAUACUCUGUGGGGCUAACUGACUCCAUCUGCUUCAUAAGUCAUGACAGUUCUCUUUCAGUCAGGCCAUCAAGGAAGAUAUUGCUUGUGCUAUGAGCAUACAGGAACAACCGUCCCAAAAGGUUUGUAAGGGGCAGAGGACACUUCAGCCUCACCACCAUGCCAAUGAAGAAUAAAAAACACAAUGAAAUUCUGUCUUUUUUUUCUCUUGUUUUAUACCAGAAAUAAAUACUUUUUACUUACA